This 227-nucleotide ribosomal RNA is filed under the name uncultured prokaryote. Its description in RNAcentral is "partial 16S ribosomal RNA". It matches the Rfam family "Bacterial small subunit ribosomal RNA", at positions 524 to 750 of the family's 1533-position model. The record is from RNAcentral.
UACAGAGGGGGCAAGCGUUGCUCGGAAUUACUGGGCGUAAAGGGCGCGUAGGCGGCCUUCUAAGUCGAACGUGAAAUCCCCAGGCUCAACCUGGGAACUGCGUCUGAUACUGGAUGGCUUGAAUCCGGGAGAGGGAUGCAGAAUUCCAGGUGUAGCGGUGAAAUGCGUAGAUAUCUGGAGGAAUACCGGUGGCGAAGGCGGCAUCCUGGACCGGCAUUGACGCUGAG